Molecule: ribosomal RNA, 456 nt
Filed under: uncultured soil bacterium
Lineage: Bacteria
Description: bacterial SSU rRNA
Rfam family: Bacterial small subunit ribosomal RNA
Source: RNAcentral
AGAUUGAACGCUGGCGGCAUGCCUUACACAUGCAAGUCGAACGGCAGCACGGGAGCAAUCCUGGUGGCGAGUGGCGAACGGGUGAGUAAUACAUCGGAACGUGCCCAAUCGUGGGGGAUAACGCAGCGAAAGCUGUGCUAAUACCGCAUAAGAUCUACGGAUGAAAGCAGGGGAUCGCAAGACCUUGCGCGAAUGGAGCGGCCGAUGGCAGAUUAGGUAGUUGGUGAGGUAAAGGCUCACCAAGCCUUCGAUCUGUAGCUGGUCUGAGGGGACGACCAGCCACACUGGGACUGAGACACGGCCCAGACCUCCUACGGGAGGCAGCGAGGUGGGGUAAUUUUAGGUACAAGUAGGGGCGAAAGCCUAGAUCCACGCCGAUCGCCGCGUGCGAAGGAUGGAAGGUCCGUUCGGUUACGUAAACGUGUCGUUUUUGGUAACGGAAACGUAAAAGUACUU